RNAcentral lists this ribosomal RNA (388 nucleotides) under uncultured bacterium. RNAcentral's name for it is "bacterial SSU rRNA". It matches the Rfam family "Bacterial small subunit ribosomal RNA", at positions 30 to 418 of the family's 1533-position model. The record is from RNAcentral.
AUUGAACGCUGGCGGCAUGCCUUACACAUGCAAGUCGAACGGCAGCACGGGAGCAAUCCUGGUGGCGAGUGGCGAACGGGUGAGUAAUAUAUCGGAACGUGCCCGGUCGUGGGGGAUAACGUAGCGAAAGCUACGCUAAUACCGCAUACGAUCUAUGGAUGAAAGCGGGGGAUCGCAAGACCUCGCGCGAUUGGAGCGGCCGAUAUCAGAUUAGGUAGUUGGUGAGGUAAAGGCUCACCAAGCCGACGAUCUGUAGCUGGUCUGAGAGGACGACCAGCCACACUGGGACUGAGACACGGCCCAGACUCCUACGGGAGGCAGCAGUGGGGAAUUUUGGACAAUGGGCGCAAGCCUGAUCCAGCAAUGCCGCGUGCAGGAUGAAGGCCUU